This is a long non-coding RNA of Gossypium arboreum, 495 nucleotides long. RefSeq lists it as uncharacterized. The transcript is spliced from 2 exons. Lineage: Eukaryota; Viridiplantae; Streptophyta; Magnoliopsida; Malvales; Malvaceae. The record is from RefSeq and is a predicted model, not a curated record.
GCUAAGGCCAACUUAUUCUAUUUCUGUGGUUUGAGCUGAUAUAGGCUAUGGUUGGGUUAAUUUACACACUGAGUUUCCCCAAACUCACCCCUUUUAUUUUCAUCCACGCAGGAAAUCCCCAACCAUAGUAGGCUUGGAGCUGUGAGGGAAUUCGAAGUGGCCACCCGUUCUGAAAGUUAGAUUUUCUUCUGGUGAACUGGACAUCCUUUUAUUUACGAUUGAAGUUUUGGGUUUUUAAAUGUAAUCCAUAGAGUUAGACGGAUCGGUGCAGCGGAGGACUCGAUAGUGACCACUUCCUAUUACUAUUUAAUUUUGUUUUACUGUUUUAUUUAAGUUUUGGCAUUGAGUUUUGAGAGGUUGUAUUUUCUAGGACUCUCUAGAUUCUUUUAAACUGUUUGGCUUUGGUUUUGGGUUUGGAAUUAACUUGUUUAUUACUAUGAUGGUUUAACCUAAACCAUGAAUUUCUAAAAUAAAAUGCAAAUUGUUUUCCUUAAA